ACAAUGAUACUUCCGUUUCUUCUUUUGAAGGGGCGGCUCGGAGCGAUCCUCGGAGGGGUGAGAGUCCCAUGA
This 72-nucleotide non-coding RNA is filed under the name unclassified sequences. Its description in RNAcentral is "pemK RNA". It matches the Rfam family "pemK RNA". The record is from RNAcentral. RNAcentral also lists the same sequence under 1 other name.